RNAcentral lists this non-coding RNA (415 nucleotides) under Citrobacter werkmanii. The record is from RNAcentral. Lineage: Bacteria; Pseudomonadati; Pseudomonadota; Gammaproteobacteria; Enterobacterales; Enterobacteriaceae.
AAUUCUUCAACGUGCUGUCGAGCGGUUUAAUAAACAGACUGUUAUUACGCAGAUUGACAUCACCUUUGGCCGUAACCAGCGAGCCAUCCAACGGGAUAUCGAGAUGUAAGCGAGCAUUCACAUCGCCAUCAAUCUGCAACUGCUCAAGCGUGGCGCCAAGAGAAUCUUUUAGCGGCGUAUCAUCAAAAUAAGGUCCAACCGCUUUGCCCGGCCCGUUGAUGUCGGCAUCAAUCAGCAGUUUUUCUUUUGCAUAGUCGGGAAUAUUGGCCGUCAGAUUGCUGGCUUUUACGCCGCCUAAAUUAACGCCAUCCGUUUUCAUCCACAGACCGUCGUUAAUGAAGUUCAGUUCAAUAUUGAGGUCAGUCAACGCAGGCCAGUCGGGCUGAAAGGCGAAUUUAGCAUUGCGUAACGGCAC